This 75-nucleotide transfer RNA is filed under the name Minisyncoccota bacterium. Its description in RNAcentral is "tRNA-Glu". It matches the Rfam family "tRNA". Rfam says of the family: Transfer RNA (tRNA) molecules are approximately 80 nucleotides in length. Their secondary structure includes four short double-helical elements and three loops (D, anti-codon, and T loops). Lineage: Bacteria; Bacillati; Minisyncoccota. The record is from RNAcentral.
GGCCCUAUCGUCUAGUGGUUAGGACAGCAGCUUUUCAAGCUGUUAACUCGGGUUCGAUUCCCGAUAGGGUCACCA